AACUUUUGGCAAUGGAUCUCUUGGCUCUCGCAUCGAUGAAGAACACAGCGAAAUGUGAUACGUAAUGUGAAUUGCAGAAUUCAGUGAAUCAUCGAAUCUUUGAACGCACCUUGCACCCUUUGGUAUUCCAAAGGGUAUGCUCGUUUGAGUGUCAUUGUACUCUCAUACUCUCUGUUCUUAGGAUUGGGAGUGGUGGACUUGGGUGUUGCUGCUUCACUGUGGCUCACCUGAAAUGCAUUAGUGCAACUGUUGACUAACCAUAGUAUGGCAUGAUAAGCAUCUUUGCCAGCACCUCUCCGGAUGGUGGUCAGUCAAGAGCUCUGUGCUUCUAACUGUCUUUGGAAAAUGUUGACAACUUGACCUCAAAUCGAGUAGGACUACCCGCUGAACUUAAGCAUAUCAAUAAGCGGAGGCU
RNAcentral lists this unclassified non-coding RNA (415 nucleotides) under uncultured Sebacinaceae. Its description in RNAcentral is "sequence contains ITS2". The stretch from base 1 to 154 matches the Rfam family "5.8S ribosomal RNA". Lineage: Eukaryota; Fungi; Basidiomycota; Agaricomycetes; Sebacinales; Sebacinaceae. The record is from RNAcentral.